CACGUAGGCGGCCUGUUAAGUGUGGAGUGAAAUCUCACGGCUCACCCGUGGAACUGCUUCGCAUACUGGCAAGCUCGAGGACGGUAGGGGAGAGCGGAACUCUUGGUGGAGCGGUGAAAUGCGUAGAUAUCAAGAGGAACACCGAUGGCGAAGGCAGCUCUCUGGUCCGUUUCUGACGCUGAGGUGCGAAAGCUAGGGUAGCGAAC
This 206-nucleotide ribosomal RNA is filed under the name uncultured bacterium. RNAcentral describes it as "partial 16S ribosomal RNA". It matches the Rfam family "Bacterial small subunit ribosomal RNA", at positions 568 to 773 of the family's 1533-position model. The record is from RNAcentral.